Molecule: non-coding RNA, 737 nt
Organism: Macaca mulatta (Rhesus monkey)
Lineage: Eukaryota; Metazoa; Chordata; Mammalia; Primates; Cercopithecidae
Source: RefSeq, a predicted model, not a curated record
CGCCGCCGCGGGGCUGCGGCCGAUGAAGCGAGGACCCAGACGCCGGGGGGCGGUGCUUCCUGUCUCUCUGCGCCAGCCUCGGCCUGCGGCGGGGCAGAGCGCCGGAAACGGCCUUCGCGGCGUUAGGAAUUGCGGGCGAAAGCUAAACGGGGAGAUUUUAGAGAUUCGCCAGCAAAUCGAAACAAAACUGCCCCUACUAACUGUACCAACAGUGAACCCUUGAAAAUGCCUUUCUGGAGAGGGUUAAACAAAUGCCUGAAAUGAUUUUGCCAUAAACCUGAGCGUUCCACCAGACACCCAUCUGGAUUGAUAACUUGAAACCAGUAAAGUGUGGGAGUGAAAUAAAAACAAAAGCCCUAGCUAAAUUCUAGCAUUAUGGUCAAACCAUAUUUGGAGACAGGUCGGCCCGCUAAAACAAAGUAACAGUAGACCGGCUGCAAGCUGCCUUGGGUGUCCACUUUCAUUUCUCACGAAGUCCUGCAGAUAACCUUACUUCUUCCUGCCCAAAGAAAAGUAAAAACCAUGAAGCUCAGUGUCUCCCUCCUCACUACCAAAAGACUAUUUACAGUAUGAGUCAAUUUCAGAACUUCUGAGAGCAUGAAGCAGACCCACACCACUUUCAGCUUUUGAGGAUCUGGACAUUUUCAACUUUGGUACUGAGGAAAUUAUUUAAGGGCAUUGUGAGUUGUUUGUUAUUUUUAAGUAGAUAAAGCAUUUACAUUAUUUACAAAUCAAAA